AGCCACUGCAAACGAAACACAAUUGAGUCACAUCAUGUAUCCCACGAGGACGUGUGUGCCUUUUCUCUGUCACCCCGAGUCCCUCUCUGAGGCUAACAAGCAAGAUCAACAUGCUCAGAAAGCAAUGGAGUGAGACAUGCCUUCUGUCUGGAUCAGGAGUGGGAAGAUAAAUUGAGCUGUGUAGAAAUGCCUUCUAACGUGGUCCCUGUCUCCUCACCCCAUUCAUGAGCUGACCUCCUAACAAGAAGAAAGAGAUGUAUUUUAACUCAAGGGAUUGUUUCUAUCUCUGUGACCAAUCUGCCUCCUCUCCUUCACAGAGUUUUCCAUUUCAAAAGCCCAUUUGAGGCAAAGCCUGCUGUUACCAUCAGCAAAGCUCUGGACAGUGGCACCAUGGGGGAGAGAUCAUUCUCUUUGUCUUACCUGAAACUAUUGCUUUUACCCAGUGUCCAUCUCUUCCCAUCUGGAUCCCUCUGUGAAGUGUGGUUCUUUUAUGGGAUAUCCAACUAGGAGCAGAGUCUUACAAGCUGCAAGGACUGCUGUGACGUUUGGGGACUUCAGUUUCAUUCUCAUCUUCUCUGUGCUUCCCAGUUGCACAAGGAAGAUUUUUUUCUUCAUUUUUUUGUGAGUUGUCACACCCUUUCUCUAUUCUUGAUUGAUUUAUGGAGGUUUGCAGGGAAGCUUAAUUGUCUAUUUUCUUAGUACCACAGGAGUGUCUCCUUGAGGCAAGUUGAUAUGCUUACAAGAGGUGAAGAAUUGGUGAGAAAUGGCUGGUCUAUGCUACAGAAGAAGAACUCGUGCUACAGAGUCAGAACCAAGCUAGCCAUCUGGGGCUUUGCAGUUCAAGGUGGCUCUUUUGUCCUCAGGAGACCACAAGAGUCAGAGAAAUACCACUUUCACAAUCCCUGCCUUUCUCAACAACACUCAAACCAUUCCUUGUUAGAGUUCUCUCUUGUGUAGCAAACAUUUCCAAAACUGGCAUCAUAAGCUUCAAGGAGGAUCAUCCUCAACUCAGUGGGGGAAAGACAACAUUAUCAACAAGCAGGGGAGCUAUGAAUACUCUCCCUAGCUCAAUACAUAAACCUGAUUGUAAAAAGCUGUGAGGAAAUAACUUUGAAAUGAUACAAGACCUGAAGAAUGUUCCAGGUGACCCAAUCUAUCCUGACACUCAACAUUUCCAGUACUUCCGGCAUUCCUAUGGUCUCCUUCCUACCCCAUUCUCCUCCACAUAGCCACCCCACAAGACCAGGUGAGAAACUCUUGAAGGAGGCCUUUAUAAUCCCCUGCUCAGCUCCUAUCAUUGCACCAGCUCGUAUACACCCUUACGUAUUGCUUUGUAAUAUUUGAAACUAUCUCAUAAGUAGGAUCUGAUUUUUAUCCUUCUUGAUAUUUUCCUUGAAAAUGAUAUUUUACCCGUGGGUGUCUUUGUCUAACCUUUUUUCAAGGUAUCUAAUCAUUCACUGUGGGGCAACAUCACUACUUCAUUCUCAUGUUGUCAGAUACUUGAGUUGUUCAUGAUAUAUUUGAAAUUCAUUACAGGAAUUCUCCUCACCCCAACAGGUUAGACAUUCAGACCCCACCCUACUCCAAAGGCAUCCAGGAACCACAAAGACUUUUUAGGUCUAAGGGACUGUGGCUACUCAGAUUGGCUACCCUUAAUCUCAGGGUUACACAGUGAUGCUGUUCAGAGGUCUUCACUUGUCUCCUUGUAUCCACAUUCCGUGACAUAGUGGCAUCAGCAGAAGACAAGCUGAGUCUGAGCAUAUGAACUGAGGAGCAGUGAUCCCCAGUCUGCACUGUUGAUCCCACGCAAGGCCACCUUCACUGACAAUGUUGCAGCAAUAAAACACAAGACAGACUCUGUCUGCAUCCCAGCAACUUUGAGAACCCUAGUCUAGAUAUUUAUCAGCCACCAACCCAAGCUGUGAACAAGCAGUGAGAGGCAGUAAUGGACAGACUAUGUCCUUGAUUUGUGUGUGGAAGUCUCAAUCACCAGAACCUUAAAAUGUGACUAUAUUUGAAGACAGUCUCCUUAAAAAAACAGCUGGGUUUCAUGUUGUCCCUUAAGAGUAUCUGUGUAAGAAGAAAUUAAGAUAGAUAUAGUGCAGAGGGAAGAUAUUGUGGAGACACAUGGAGAUGGCUCCAAGUCAAAAGGGACGCACUCACACACAUUGAUCUCAAGCUUUCAGCCUUCCGAACCGCCAGGAAUAAAGUUCUCUUGAAGCCACUCAGUCUGUGGAAGUUUGGUAAAGCAGCUUCAGCAGACACGUGCAGAAGUGCGAGGGCUGGAAGGAAGAGAUAAAGCUAACAUGCCAGUGCCAGGGUCAACCACAGAGAAAGCCAAGCAUACCAGUAAACCCUCUGCAAGCAUUAACAAGAUGUUUCUGCAUGAUGGUCAGACACAAAAGCAAUUAUGGAAGCCUUUGCGUGUCUCCCUGUCAGUAGAUGCCAAUCAUGAAACAUAAUAAAAACAUAACACAGUGUUCACAGGAAUCAAUUCGUCAAGGAGCCCUUUGGGGAAGAAAAAUUAAAUUCAAUUAAACAGCAUAAAGGGAAGACGUGAAUAAACAGGGAGAUAUUCCUUGUUCAUGAUGGGAUAUCGUAACAUUGUAAAAAUGUCAAAUCCCAUCAGAUUAAUUUACAAAUCUGGUGAAACUGAAUGUGAGUUCCAGAUGAAUGGGUUGAGAAGCUUGAUAGACUUGUUCUGAGGUGAAUAAAUAUGUAUUUAUUCAUAUAAA
Mesocricetus auratus (golden hamster) is the source of this 2735-nucleotide long non-coding RNA. RefSeq lists it as uncharacterized. NCBI's taxonomy places the organism in Eukaryota, Metazoa, Chordata, Mammalia, Rodentia, Cricetidae. The transcript has 2 exons. The record is from RefSeq and is a predicted model, not a curated record.